Molecule: ribosomal RNA, 535 nt
Filed under: uncultured bacterium
Lineage: Bacteria
Description: partial 16S ribosomal RNA
Rfam family: Bacterial small subunit ribosomal RNA
Source: RNAcentral
UGGGGAAUAUUGGACAAUGGGCGGAAGCCUGAUCCAGCAACGCCGCGUGAGGGAUGACGGCCUUCGGGUUGUAAACCUCUUUCAGCACAGACGAAGCGCAAGUGACGGUAUGUGCAGAAGAAGGACCGGCCAACUACGUGCCAGCAGCCGCGGUAAUACGUAGGGUCCGAGCGUUGUCCGGAAUUAUUGGGCGUAAAGGGCUCGUAGGCGGUUUGUCGCGUCGGGAGUGAAAACACCGGGCUUAACUCGGUGCUUGCUUUCGAUACGGGCAGACUAGAGGCAUUCAGGGGAGAACGGAAUUCCUGGUGCAGCGGUGAAAUGCGCAGAUAUCAGGAGGAACACCGGUGGCGAAGGCGGUUCUCUGGGAAUGUCCUGACGCUGAGGAGCGAAAGUGUGGGGAGCGAACAGGAUUAGAUACCCUGGUAGUCCACACCGUAAACGUUGGGCGCUAGGUGUGGGAUCCAUUCCACGGGUUCCGUGCCGCAGCUAACGCAUUAAGCGCCCCGCCUGGGGAGUACGGCCGCAAGGCUAAAAC